CUCCUCGACCCGCUGCGCUA
This 20-nucleotide unclassified non-coding RNA is filed under the name Chlamydomonas reinhardtii. RNAcentral describes it as "small RNA Cre_1443". Lineage: Eukaryota; Viridiplantae; Chlorophyta; Chlorophyceae; Chlamydomonadales; Chlamydomonadaceae. The record is from RNAcentral.